This is a long non-coding RNA of Aethina tumida (small hive beetle), 457 nucleotides long. RefSeq lists it as uncharacterized. Lineage: Eukaryota; Metazoa; Arthropoda; Insecta; Coleoptera; Nitidulidae. The record is from RefSeq and is a predicted model, not a curated record. The transcript is spliced from 3 exons.
UGGAAUUGAAAAUAUAGAAUUAAGAGGCGAUUCGAUUAAGAAAAAAUGGAGCUUAGGACACUUCAAUUUUCUCAUCUUUGUUUAUAUUUUAUAUUGUUUAAGGUGCGGGGGGAGAUGUUGAACAAAAUAACUCGUAUGAGACCGAAGUACCCAAUGUAGCCAUUUGCUGAGGAAAAUAUGGCACCAAUAAUCAUUGACCAACAAAACAGUGAUCCAGAGGACACAUUCAGGGUCGUGAAAUCAUGGUUCCAUGAUCAAGACAUAUCGGUACUCAAAUAUCCUUCACAGCCACCUGAUCUGAAUCCUAUUGAGCACCAGUGGGGCAUUUUGGAUGGUUGCUUAAGGACCCAUAUUAAAAUAAAUAAUUAAUUCAAAUACCCCGGCAAAUAAUACAUAAACUGGUCGUUUUCCUGUAAAGAAGAUACAAUGUUGGGUGCACAUGGAUGUGGGACGACAU